GUCCACGCCGUAAACGAUGUCGACUAGCCGUUGGGAUCCUUGAGAUCUUAGUGGCGCAGCUAACGCAUUAAGUCGACCGCCUGGGGAGUACGGCCGCAAGGUUAAAACUCAAAUGAAUUGACGGGGGCCCCGCACAAGCGGUGGAGCAUGUGGUUUAAUUCGAAGCAACGCGAAGAACCUUACCUGGCCUUGACAUGCUGAGAACUUUCUAGAGAUAGAUUGGUGCCUUCGGGAACUCAGACACAGGUGCUGCAUGGCUGUCGU
RNAcentral lists this ribosomal RNA (264 nucleotides) under uncultured bacterium. Its description in RNAcentral is "partial 16S ribosomal RNA". It matches the Rfam family "Bacterial small subunit ribosomal RNA", at positions 793 to 1055 of the family's 1533-position model. The record is from RNAcentral.